Molecule: unclassified non-coding RNA, 276 nt
Filed under: Zea mays
Lineage: Eukaryota; Viridiplantae; Streptophyta; Magnoliopsida; Poales; Poaceae
Description: misc RNA Zm00001eb286590
Source: RNAcentral
UUGUUCGAGCACGCGUUGAGCAACGCGCCGGAGAAGCUUCCAUUGCAGUCCUCGCCGUCAAAAUCCGUCCGGGUGUCCACGACACUGGUCGAGGUCCUGCGCCGCGCGCAGUCCACGCAGAAAAAGCGCACGAACGCUGCUCGAUCUGCUCCAGGACUCACAGAUCUCCGUCCACAUGCCGAAAGCAAUGGCGACGCUGAGGAGAUAGCUGCUCGUGAAGCCUGCCCGAGCCUCCUCGUGCCAGAUCUGGCCAAACUUGAAUCAGUUGUUUACUGA